CUAAACUGGCGCCGCCUCGGUGCUCGCGCGCUUCGCGCGCGGUUAAACGGGAAGCAGGGCGCGACGUCCGCCAGGGCCGAGCCAACCUGCGCUGCCCCCGCAACGGUAAGCGAUCGCAUCGGAGCCGAUCCGAUGCCAGCCGCACUCUCGAUGCGCCGGCACGGCCGCGAUGGCCGGCCGCCGGCGCGGUGCCACUGCGCUUCGCGCGCGGGAAGGCGAGGCGGUGACGUCGCGAGCCCGGAUACCGGCCGAGGCGGGGAGGCGGAC
This 267-nucleotide non-coding RNA is filed under the name Burkholderia pseudomallei. Lineage: Bacteria; Pseudomonadati; Pseudomonadota; Betaproteobacteria; Burkholderiales; Burkholderiaceae. RNAcentral also lists the same sequence under 1 other name. The record is from RNAcentral.